This is a long non-coding RNA of Suricata suricatta (meerkat), 506 nucleotides long. RefSeq lists it as uncharacterized. NCBI's taxonomy places the organism in Eukaryota, Metazoa, Chordata, Mammalia, Carnivora, Herpestidae. The transcript is spliced from 3 exons. The record is from RefSeq and is a predicted model, not a curated record.
AGGUGCAGGCGCGCCCACACAGCAUCCUGCCCUGAACUUUGUCCCACCGGUGGCGUCGGGGGUAAAGUGCCGAUUCUGAAGGGUGUAAUGGUGCGCGAGGGACCUAAUGGGGUUUGCCAUCAGCACAGGGUCUCCAUCCUGCCUGCUCCUCCCCUCACAAGGCUCCUUGGACUCGCGUCAACAGUGGUGACCACAGGCUCAGCCCCGCCUGCCCAGCCGGGACAACACUGACGGACCCAAGUCGGGGCCCACUGUGCCCCUCCCGCCUGUGGAGCGUCUUAGGCACAGGGCCAGCUGGAGGGGCUGGAGACGACCUCGGUGUGGUGGCCCGCGGAGGGCAGGGAACCCCCCCGUCCGCCGCGGUAUCCGGAAGGCGGGUCUGCGUGUCUGAGGCUCUCCCUGCCCGCUCUGCAGACCCCGGCUGCUGCCGUCUCCCGCGGCUGCCAUGCUCCCUGCCUUCUCGUCCUGUUUAAAUAUUUAUUCCAGUUAAAUAUUAAAGGUCUUCC